This is a long non-coding RNA of Pristis pectinata (smalltooth sawfish), 815 nucleotides long. RefSeq lists it as uncharacterized. Lineage: Eukaryota; Metazoa; Chordata; Chondrichthyes; Rhinopristiformes; Pristidae. The record is from RefSeq and is a predicted model, not a curated record. The transcript is spliced from 3 exons.
GAGGCUUUGUCUCCUUAAAGACUGAAGCUGAUCCUUGUCAAUCACAGACGGAUAGGUUCUUGAUUGGUAUGAGAGUUUAGGGUUGCGGGGAGAAGGGGGAAGAAUGGGGUUAGGAACAGAAUAUCAGCCCUGGUUGAAUGUUGGAACAGACUCUAUGGGCCGAAUGGCCUAGUUCUGCUGCUACAUCUUCUGGUUUAUCUUCAGGGGAGAGUUUCAGGACAGGCAUGGUAGUGCAGCAGUUAGUGUAAUGCUAUUACAGCGCCAGUGACCCAGGUUCAAUUCAAAAUGUCCGGGGUAAGUUUUUUACUCAGAGAGUGGUGAGUGUGUGGAAUGGGCUGCCGGCAGCGGUGGUGGAGGCUGAUACGAUAGGAUCUUUUAAGAGACUGUUGGAUAGGUACAUGGAGCUGAGAAAAAUAGAGGGCUAUGGGUAAGCCUAGUGAUUUCUAAGGUAGGGACAUGUUCAGCACAGCUUUGUGGGCCGAAGGGCCUGAAUUGUGCUGUAGGUUUUCUAUGUUUCUAUAACACCUCAUAUCCCGCCUGGGUCAUCUACAACCCAAUGGCAUGAACAUUGAGUUUUCCAGUUUCAGACGCUGCUCGACCGGCUGAGUUCCUCCAGCAGAUUGUUGCUCCAGGUUCCAGCAUCUGCCAUCUCCUGUGCCUCCAUAAACUCACAGGUUGGUGACACUGGUUCAACUGAUCAGCCGAGCCAGAAGCAACAUGCCUGUUCUCUAUCUAGAGGUGGUCACACCGGUCUGCUGGGGAAGGAGGGCCAAGAUUAUCCUCCAAGAGCCAUUGUGUGAAAGCGUGAAUGGUCC